RNAcentral lists this ribosomal RNA (301 nucleotides) under uncultured bacterium. RNAcentral describes it as "partial 16S ribosomal RNA". It matches the Rfam family "Bacterial small subunit ribosomal RNA", at positions 509 to 807 of the family's 1533-position model. The record is from RNAcentral.
CAGCCGCCGCGGUAAUACGAAGGGCGCAAGCGUUACUCGGAAUUACUGGGCGUAAAGCGUGCGUAGGCGGUGAGUUAAGUCUGCUGUGAAAUCCCCGGGCUCAACCUGGGAAUGGCAGUGGAUACUGGCUCGCUAGAGUGUGUCAGAGGAUGGUGGAAUUCCCGGUGUAGCGGUGAAAUGCGUAGAGAUGUGGAGGAGCACCAGUGGCGAAGGCGACUCUCUGGUCUGUAACUGACGCUGAGGAGCGAAAGCGUGGGGAGCAAACAGGAUUAGAUACCCGAGUAGUCCCUGUCUCUUAUAC